UCGGUUCAGGUUUCAGGAGGUUCAGUCCGUGGUUGGUGGCUCCAAGGCAGGAACAUCACGGUGAAGGGUGUGGUAGAGGAAAGCUACUUAGUUCACGGUGGCCAGGAAGUAGAGCAGGAGAAUAGUGCCAGAGAGGAAUGGGCCAGAGACCAGACCUCCAAGGUCCUGAGUCCACACAUAACCGAUACACCCAAAGUAUGUGUUGGUAAUCAAUCUAGUCAAGUUGAUAAUCACAAUUAAUAGUCAUAUCUGAGGAGGUAAUACAUGAACAAGAUCAAAGAAGUAAAGGCGUGAAGCAGGAAGGUAUCCCGGGGAAGAGUAGGACAGGCUGCAAAGGAGCAAGUGUGAAGGCCUUGCAGUGGGGCCAUGUUCAAAAACAUGUGGAAGGAAGGAAGGGAGGGAGGAAGGAAGGAAGAUAUCCAUGUUUUUAAGAAAGGGGAGGGAUGGGGACUUGAGAUAUUUACCAGGCAUAGUUAAGCCAAUGAGGAGCUGAUAUGUUUGAAUGACAAAUGCUCUAGAUGACAUCGAAUUGCGUAUUUACUUUUACUGUUUGAGGAUCCUCCCUUGGAAACAGUCUGGGAUGGAGAAGAAAGUUAUAGUGUUUGUCAAACCCAAUGGACGUAAAGUGGUUGUUUGGUAUUUACCGUGGAGCAAGGGUCUGAGCUGUGCUUCUUGGGGGGGGGGGGNNNNNNNNNNNNNNNNNNNNNNNNNNNNNNNNNNNNNNNNNNNNNNNNNNNNAAGAAAGAGGGGGAGGGGGAGGAGGCGGCUGUGCUCCGAGGACAACAAGAUGUGGGCAAAACACUUCCAAGUUCAAAGCUGCUGUGCAAUCGCCGUGGGCGCCCAGGCAGGGGAGAGGACCGUCAUGCCUUCGCGGCCGUUUGCCACCAGGGCGCGCUCGAGUUCACGGCAAGGUCCUCCCGUUGCUGGAAACUUGGAAUAACAAUUUCAUCAUUGAGAUUCCAUUCGGCCAGUUACAGAGACCUGCAAAAGACAAGCCUAAAUGUUCCAUUACCUUGGAGUAUCCUUUAGAUCAGAGGUGAGCAAAUUUUUUUUCCUGUGGCCAUUUUAGGCUCUUGACCAGAUCAUUCUACCUACUCUCUUUGCAGCUGUAGACAGGAACAAGGUGAACAUGUGGC
Molecule: long non-coding RNA, 1136 nt
Filed under: Fukomys damarensis (Damara mole-rat)
Lineage: Eukaryota; Metazoa; Chordata; Mammalia; Rodentia; Bathyergidae
Description: lncRNA (ENSFDAG00000031934.1)
Source: RNAcentral